This 395-nucleotide long non-coding RNA is filed under the name Anas platyrhynchos platyrhynchos (common mallard). RNAcentral's name for it is "lncRNA (ENSAPLG00000017814.1)". Lineage: Eukaryota; Metazoa; Chordata; Aves; Anseriformes; Anatidae. The record is from RNAcentral.
UUCAUCCCCUCCGUGGUUCCUCCUCUCGCUUGCAGGAUAAAUCAAUGCUACUUUAGUUAAAGGAGUGACCUGAAGCUGUGGGUGGUCUGCAGUGCACUCCCAUGGAGCCACAUUGCCUUUAUAAACCUGAACCUUGUUGCUCUGAAAGUGGUGGAUACUGCCAGCCUGCACCAAGAUCACCCUCAUGUUGCCCACAAGGGUGAAUGGAAAUAUCAUACAGGAGAGAGCUGGAAGGGUUGCAGGCAGUGCCUGGUAGCUGUCAGCAGGCGGACAAGUGGUUGUAAGGACUGACCUGCCAGGGGCAGAUUUGACAUGGAAAGUCUUCCCUUUUUAGGUUCUGCUUGGAUUAGGUAGGUGAGAAUAAAUCAAUUGUCACCUGAGGUAUAACUAAGAAU